CAGCAGCCGCGGUAAUACGAGGGGGGCAAGCGUUGUUCGGAAUUAUUGGGCGUAAAGGGUGCGUAGGCGGUUUGGCAAGUUUCGUGUGAAAACUUCGGGCUCAACCCGAAGCCUGCACGGAAAACUGCCGGGCUUGAGUAUGGGAGAGGUGAGUGGAAUUUCCGGUGUAGCGGUGAAAUGCGUAGAUAUCGGAAGGAACACCUGUGGCGAAAGCGGCUCACUGGACCAUAACUGAUGCUGAGGCACGAAAGCUAGGGGAGCAAACAGGAUUAGAGACCCCUGUAGUCCCUGUCUCUUAUAC
RNAcentral lists this ribosomal RNA (301 nucleotides) under uncultured bacterium. Its description in RNAcentral is "partial 16S ribosomal RNA". It matches the Rfam family "Bacterial small subunit ribosomal RNA", at positions 509 to 807 of the family's 1533-position model. The record is from RNAcentral.